AGAAGUUAACACUGGUACAGUACUAUUAACUGAACAGAUUUUAUUUGGAUUUCAUCAGUUUUUCCACUCAUGUCCAUUUCCUGUUCCAGUAUCCAAUCCAAGAUCUCACAGUGAUUUAGUAUCUUGCAUUUCUUUUAAUUCUCUGAAUUCACUGGGCUCAUGCCGGCCUGUUUGCCUUGGAGCCUGCCAUUUUCUUUCUCACAGUAACUUUCCUGCUCACAGCAAAUUCUUAUUCAUCCUGCAGUAACCCUUUUUUUUGAGUCAAAAAUAAUGUGGGGAACUUGGUAGGAGUGGGAUUUGGGUAUCUGGCCCUUCACAGUACUGAGUGGGGGGAAAUGCCACUCCCCUUUCCACGCCCAGGAUCUCAUUUGACUCUCACUUGGGUUUUAUAUAUCCUUUACACAAAUGCAAACAAAUACUAACGCAUAUUACUACUCAUUCCCCCUUCUCCCAGCCGUGGUUACUCAAGGUCCACAGGUGACUUUCAUAGGACAGCAUAGUUGGCUGGUGGCAGAGGGGGAACCUGAACCCAAAGUCUCUGAGUUCCAGUUUCAUCGGCUGGCUGCCUGGAUCCUUCAUGCGUGGCCUGUCUCUGCUGUCCUCGGUUGUCCAAUCUGGAGGAGGAAAAUGGAGUCCCAGAGAGAUGAAUGAUCAAGCCAUAUGCCAGGAGCAGACUUGGGAAUCCUGUUGCUGAACUCAGCUGAGGUCAGAAACCUCAGUGAAGCUCCAUCCCUUUGAGAUGAUGAGGUGACACUUUAGUCAUCUGGUCCCAUUGAAAGGGCGGGCCUACGCCGGCCAACUCCAUCUUGUUCUGUGUCCUUCACCUUGACCACGCCUCCUCCCCUUGAGUAACCCCCCCCCCCCAACAAGUCUCGGACCCUUCCCCAGCCAAUUGGCUGAGGCCACAGCCAUUACCUCACCAACUGCCCCUAGGCCCCAAUAAAACCUUUGUCCUUUUGAUACUCGCUUUGUCCUUUUGAUACUCUCCCCGGUAUCUCACGGCUGUGUCGGUGCAGGUAGGGGAUUGAGCUCGAGCUAGCUCGAAUAAAGGCUCUUUUGCUUUUACAUCGGACUCGGCUCCCUGGCGGUAUUUGGGGAUCACAAAUUCUGGGCAUAACACCAUGGCCUCUGUCACUAGAGGUAACUUUGGAGGAAUCCCUUUCAGCCCUCUGGGCCCAGGUUCCUCAUCAUUUGAAUGGGGUUAGUCCUCACCUGUAAGCCUCAGUGGGCAAAUUGACAGGCCACACCCCCUUGCUCCCCCAAGGUGAGAUAAGUGUGGUAUUCCUGGCUGCCCAAGGACAAAAAAAAAAAAGGAAAGGGGAAAAACAAAUGGUUAACUGAUCAAGAUCAUAGUCCCACAGGACCUGAGUCUCCAUCUAUUGGCAAAUAUCUUAGUAAAUCACAAGAAAAAGGCAAUCUCAAUAGCCUAAUCUCCAGAAACCUAUAGACUCCUUCUCCUGGAGCCCCACUAUCACCCCUCCAUAGUGAUGUGGGAAACGAAGGCAGAAGGAAAUGGCAGAAAUAAAUGUCCUUAUAAUCUGCAGCCCAUUGACAAAUACUUGAGGCUGGCAGAGUAAAAAGUUUCUCCAGGAAUUCCCUACGGUCUGAAUGCUAAUGCUUUGCUAGAGGGAAAAACAACGUUAGCCUGACAAUAGCUAGGCCUCCACUAUCCUGGGAAUCUUCUUUAGCAUAUGAAAAUCUCCCUGGAAACUACCCCUGGACUUUAUGCCUCCUAACCCCUAACCCCGUAGUAUAAAACCAGUCUCUCCUCAUGGUCCCCUGGGCAGCUCUUUCUGCCCGCGGGUACUGUCCCCGUGCUUUAAUAAAAUCACCUUUUUGCACCAAA
Long non-coding RNA from Neofelis nebulosa (Clouded leopard), 1846 nucleotides. RefSeq lists it as uncharacterized. The record is from RefSeq and is a predicted model, not a curated record. The transcript has 2 exons. Lineage: Eukaryota; Metazoa; Chordata; Mammalia; Carnivora; Felidae.